CUUCUCAAGGUGAGCUGUAGCUUUCUACCACCAGCACCUGGCCAGCUGCUCGCGCCGUGCAAGUGCUGCGGUGCCGUCAGCCCUCCCUGCCUUGGGCUCCUUGUGCGCCCAGUGCCUCAGCCGUCACAAGGACGUCCCACAUCCUCCCUGUUCCUCCCCUGCAGGCCCCCUGGCUGCUGGACAUGGUGGUGUCCCGAGCGGCACCGGUGGCCUCCCUGGCACUCUCUGGCUGCCUCGUCGUCUUUCCCAAGUGAGUAUGUUGGGGGCUGUAGCUGCUGCUUGCUGCAGCUGCUCAGCUCUCAUGCCGUAGCAUUUGUUCCUGGUGACCAUGGGUGUCCCUGCCCUGCCCACGAGGAUAUGGCAUAGAAUCAUCGCAUCAUUUGAGCUGGAAGGAACCCGGAAAGGGCACCUAGUCCCACUCCCCUGCAGGGAACAGGGACACCUACCGCCACAUCAGGUUGCUCUCAGCCUGGCCCUGCUGAAGCCUUUAGAAAGCAGUGGCCAUCAUGCAGCAUGAAAAUGGGCCUGUCAGCAGGCAAUCAGAGAGAGCAACAAGGAUUGGUGGAGCGCUGCGUCCCACCGCUCACUGUCGUCUCCUCGCGUACAGGUUUCAAAUGGAGUUUGUACCCAAACCACCACCUGGGAUAUCCCGCAGGUCCUCAGGAGGCAUCCCUGCGGAGGGGAAACCAAAGGAAGAGGAGGCUUUGCCACCUCUCGCACAGGGCAAGAAAGUGAGAUUUGCUGGCAAGCCAACCUACAUCAAACGCUUGAGCUCGGACAGUCUAGAUGGAGGAAAACUCCGAAGGAUAAGGAGCUUACUGCGCAAGGAGAGCUCUACGUCCAGUCUGCUGCCAGCCAUCCCUGGAGUGCCUGAAGACCAAAAGCAGCCGCUGACCUGCCAGCUGCAGGGCCAGGCAGAAACAGACAGCCAAGAAGACCUGGGCCGAGCCCCGGGAACCAAACACGUGAGCUUCCGUGAGGAAGAACGGGAAGCGGAAAAAGCCCAUCGUGUGGCUGCGGUGCUGAAGUUGCCCAAAGCCAACGAAUCUUUCAGCAACGAUUCCAGACCUUCCUCAAGGGCUCAGUCCAG
RNAcentral lists this long non-coding RNA (1090 nucleotides) under Gallus gallus (chicken). RNAcentral describes it as "lncRNA (ENSGALG00010000320.1)". The record is from RNAcentral. Lineage: Eukaryota; Metazoa; Chordata; Aves; Galliformes; Phasianidae.